Molecule: ribosomal RNA, 935 nt
Filed under: Klebsiella pneumoniae
Lineage: Bacteria; Pseudomonadati; Pseudomonadota; Gammaproteobacteria; Enterobacterales; Enterobacteriaceae
Also listed under: 1 other name
Description: partial 23S ribosomal RNA
Rfam family: Bacterial large subunit ribosomal RNA
Source: RNAcentral
GGUGUGACUGCGUACCUUUUGUAUAAUGGGUCAGCGACUUAUAUUCUGUAGCAAGGUUAACCGUAUAGGGGAGCCGCAGGGAAACCGAGUCUUAACUGGGCGUUAAGUUGCAGGGUAUAGACCCGAAACCCGGUGAUCUAGCCAUGGGCAGGUUGAAGGUUGGGUAACACUAACUGGAGGACCGAACCGACUAAUGUUGAAAAAUUAGCGGAUGACUUGUGGCUGGGGGUGAAAGGCCAAUCAAACCGGGAGAUAGCUGGUUCUCCCCGAAAGCUAUUUAGGUAGCGCCUCGUGAACUCAUCUUCGGGGGUAGAGCACUGUUUCGGCUAGGGGGUCAUCCCGACUUACCAACCCGAUGCAAACUACGAAUACCGAAGAAUGUUAUCACGGGAGACACACGGCGGGUGCUAACGUCCGUCGUGAAGAGGGAAACAACCCAGACCGCCAGCUAAGGUCCCAAAGUCAUGGUUAAGUGGGAAACGAUGUGGGAAGGCACAGACAGCCAGGAUGUUGGCUUAGAAGCAGCCAUCAUUUAAAGAAAGCGUAAUAGCUCACUGGUCGAGUCGGCCUGCGCGGAAGAUGUAACGGGGCUAAACCAUGCACCGAAGCUGCGGCAGCGACACUAUGUGUUGUUGGGUAGGGGAGCGUUCUGUAAGCCUGCGAAGGUGACCUGUGAGGGUUGCUGGAGGUAUCAGAAGUGCGAAUGCUGACAUAAGUAACGAUAAAGCGGGUGAAAAGCCCGCUCGCCGGAAGACCAAGGGUUCCUGUCCAACGUUAAUCGGGGCAGGGUGAGUCGACCCCUAAGGCGAGGCCGAAAGGCGUAGUCGAUGGGAAACAGGUUAAUAUUCCUGUACUUGGUGUUACUGCGAAGGGGGGACGGAGAAGGCUAUGUUAGCCGGGCGACGGUUGUCCCGGUUUAAGCAUGUAGGCUGGUU